AGGUAGCAGUAGUGUGUCACACUCCAGCAGCACAGUCCAUCCUGUAGGUAGUAGUAGUAGUGUCACACUCUAGCAGCACAGUCCAUCCAGUAGGUGGUAGUAGUAGUAGUGUAUCACUCUAGCAGCACCGUCCAUCCAGUAGGUAGUAGUAGUAGUGUAUCACUCUAGCAGCACAGUCCAUCCAGUAGGUAGUAGUAGUAGUAGUGUCACACUCUAGCAGCACAGUCCAUCCAGUAGGUAGUAGUAGUGUCACACUCUAGCAGCACAGUCCAUCCAGUAGGUAGUAGUAGUGUAUCACUCUAGCAGCACAGUCCAUCCAGUAGGUAGUAGUAGUGUAUCACUCUAGCAGCACAGUCCAUCCAGUAGGUAGUAGUAGUAGUAUCACUCUAGCAGCACAGUCCAUCCAGUAGGUAGUAGUAGU
Molecule: long non-coding RNA, 421 nt
Filed under: Salmo salar (Atlantic salmon)
Lineage: Eukaryota; Metazoa; Chordata; Actinopteri; Salmoniformes; Salmonidae
Description: lncRNA (ENSSSAG00000108404.1)
Source: RNAcentral